RNAcentral lists this ribosomal RNA (232 nucleotides) under uncultured bacterium. Its description in RNAcentral is "partial 16S ribosomal RNA". It matches the Rfam family "Bacterial small subunit ribosomal RNA", at positions 99 to 334 of the family's 1533-position model. The record is from RNAcentral.
CGGACGGGUGAGUAAUGUAUGGGGAUCUGCCUGAUGGCGGGGGAUAACUACUGGAAACGGUAGCUAAUACCGCAUAAUGUCUACGGACCAAAGCGGGGGACCUCCGGGCCUCGCGCCAUCAGAUGAACCCAUAUGGGAUUGGCUAGUAGGUAAGGUAACGGCUUACCUAGGCGACGAUCCCUAGCUGGUCUGAGAGGAUGAUCAGCCACACUGGGACUGAGACACGGCCCAG